This 274-nucleotide ribosomal RNA is filed under the name uncultured bacterium. RNAcentral describes it as "partial 16S ribosomal RNA". It matches the Rfam family "Bacterial small subunit ribosomal RNA", at positions 523 to 796 of the family's 1533-position model. The record is from RNAcentral.
AUACGGAGGGUGCGAGCGUUAAUCGGAAUUACUGGGCGUAAAGCGUACGUAGGCGGUUGGUUAAGUUAGAUGUGAAAGCCCCGUGCUUAACCUGGGAACUGCAUUUAAAACUGGCGAACUAGAGUUGAGUAGAGGGGAGUGGAAUUUCAGGUGUAGCGGUGAAAUGCGUAGAGAUCGGAAGGAACACCAGUGGCGAAGGCGACUCCCUGGACUCGAACUGACGCUGAGGUACGAAAGCGUGGGUAGCAAACGGGAUUAGAAACCCUAGUAGUCC